UACGUAGGGUGCGAGCGUUAAUCGGAAUUACUGGGCGUAAAGCGUGCGCAGGCGGUUCGUUAAGUCAGCUGUGAAAGCCCCGGGCUCAACCUGGGAAUUGCGGUUGAAACUGGCGAACUAGAAUCUGGCAGAGGGGGGUGGAAUUCCACGUGUAGCAGUGAAAUGCGUAGAUAUCAGGAGGAACACCGGUGGCGAAGGCGGCUCUCUGGACGGUGACUGACGCUGAGACGCGAAAGCGUGGGGAGCAAACAGG
Molecule: ribosomal RNA, 253 nt
Filed under: uncultured bacterium
Lineage: Bacteria
Description: partial 16S ribosomal RNA
Rfam family: Bacterial small subunit ribosomal RNA
Source: RNAcentral